CAACGCCGCGUGGAGGAUGAAGUACUUCGGUCGUAAACUCCUUUCGAUCGGGACGAUAAUGACGGUACCGGAAGAAGAAGCCCCGGCUAACUUCGUGC
This 98-nucleotide ribosomal RNA is filed under the name uncultured bacterium. RNAcentral describes it as "partial 16S ribosomal RNA". It matches the Rfam family "Bacterial small subunit ribosomal RNA", at positions 392 to 508 of the family's 1533-position model. The record is from RNAcentral.